GCGCGAAACCUCCGCAAUGCGAGCAAUCGCGACGGGGGAAACCCAAGUGCCACUCUUAACGGGGUGGCUUUUCUGAAGUGUAAAAAGCUUCAGGAAUAAGAGCUGGGCAAGACCGGUGCCAGCCGCCGCGGUAACACCGGCGGCUCGAGUGGUAACCGUUAUUAUUGGGUCUAAAGGGUCUGUAGCCGGCCGGAUAAGUCUCUUGAGAAAUCUGGCAGCUUAACUGUCAGGCUUUCAGGAGAUACUGUCUGGCUCGAGGCCGGGAGAGGUGAGAGGUACUUCAGGGGUAGGGGUGAAAUCUUGUAAUCCUUGAAGGACCACCAGUGGCGAAGGCGUCUCACCAGAACGGACCUGACGGCAAGGGACGAAAGCUAGGGGCACGAACCGG
RNAcentral lists this ribosomal RNA (388 nucleotides) under uncultured prokaryote. Its description in RNAcentral is "bacterial SSU rRNA". It matches the Rfam family "Archaeal small subunit ribosomal RNA", at positions 339 to 727 of the family's 1478-position model. The record is from RNAcentral. RNAcentral also lists the same sequence under 1 other name.